Long non-coding RNA from Passer domesticus (house sparrow), 1151 nucleotides. RefSeq lists it as uncharacterized. NCBI's taxonomy places the organism in Eukaryota, Metazoa, Chordata, Aves, Passeriformes, Passeridae. The record is from RefSeq and is a predicted model, not a curated record. The transcript has 2 exons.
GCUACAAGCUCUUCAGAAGAGACAGAAAAGGGAGAAGAGGUGGAGGGGUGGCCCUUUAUAUUAGGGAGGUUUUGGAUGUCAUAGGUGACCCUCCUGGUGGACGCAGGAAAGGCUGUGAAUGUUGUCUAUUUAGACUUCAGUAAGGCCUUUGGCACUGUCUCCCACAGCAUACUCCUGGAGAAGCCCACGGCUUGGACAGGAGCACUCUUUGCUGGGUUAGGAACUGGCUGGAUGGCCGGGCCCAGAGAGUGAUGGUGAAUGGUGCCGCAUCCAGCUGGCAGCCAGUCACCAGUGGUGUCCCUCAGGGGUCUGUACUGGGACCAGUUCUAUUUAAUAUUUUUAUAAAUGACAUGAAUGAGGGCAUGAAGUCUUUCAUUAGUAAAUUUGCAGAUGACACUAAGCUGGGAGCGUGUGUUGAUCUAUUGGAAGGAAGGAGGGGUCUGCAGAGAGACUUAGAUCAGUUGGAUGGAUGGGCAGAGUCCAAGGGCAUGAAGUUUAAUAAGUCUAAGUGCCAUGUUCUACAUUUUGGCCACAAAAAUCCCCUACGCCAUUACAAGAUGGGGACAGUGUGGCUGGACAGUGCUCAGGAAAGGGACCUGGGGGUGCUGGUUGACAGCCGGUUGAAUAUGAGCCAAAAAUGUGCCUUGGUGGCCAAGAAGGCCAAUGGCAUCCUGGCCUGCAUUAGGAAUUGCAUGGCCAGCAGGAGCAGGGAAGUCAUUCUUCCCCUGUACUCGGUGCUGGUGAGGGCACACCUGGAGUGCUGUGUCCAGUUCUGGGGCCCUCAGUUUAGGAAGGAUGUUGAGAUGCUUAAGCACAUCCAGAAGAGGGCAACAAGGCUGGUGAGGGGCUUGGAACACAAGCCCUAUGAGUGUAGCAGGCCCAGGGCCUGCAAGGCCUCCUUGGAGGUCAGAAGCCUGAGCCAGGAAAUGCCAAGUCAUCAUGACCGGACCUUAGAAGCCCCUCUCUUCCGCCUUUCAGACCCUCCUUAUCUCUCUGUAAGCCUAUAGGUCACUUUUCCUUGACCUUUACUAUUGGACAAUUUCCAAAACUCCUGUAGAGUAUAAAAACCCCUGAUUCUGCCUGGUUCGGCAGAAGAGCUGUCCCUGAGAACCUUCGCGGAAGACCCUAAUAAAGAAUCCUGCAGAACCUCA